This 1045-nucleotide ribosomal RNA is filed under the name Myroides sp. LS7a. Its description in RNAcentral is "bacterial SSU rRNA". It matches the Rfam family "Bacterial small subunit ribosomal RNA", at positions 93 to 1142 of the family's 1533-position model. The record is from RNAcentral. Lineage: Bacteria; Pseudomonadati; Bacteroidota; Flavobacteriia; Flavobacteriales; Flavobacteriaceae.
GACCGGCGCACGGGUGAGUAACGCGUAUGCAACCUACCUUCUACAGGGGAAUAGCCCGAAGAAAUUCGGAUUAAUGCUCCAUGGUUUAAUUGGAUGGCAUCAUUUGAUUAAUAAAGAUUUAUCGGUAGAAGAUGGGCAUGCGUAUCAUUAGCUAGUUGGUGUGGUAACGGCAUACCAAGGCGACGAUGAUUAGGGGUCCUGAGAGGGAGAUCCCCCACACUGGUACUGAGACACGGACCAGACUCCUACGGGAGGCAGCAGUGAGGAAUAUUGGUCAAUGGAGGCAACUCUGAACCAGCCAUGCCGCGUGCAGGAUGACGGUCCUAUGGAUUGUAAACUGCUUUUGUACAGGAAGAAACCUCGCUACGUGUAGCGAUUUGACGGUACUGUAAGAAUAAGGAUCGGCUAACUCCGUGCCAGCAGCCGCGGUAAUACGGAGGAUCCGAGCGUUAUCCGGAAUUAUUGGGUUUAAAGGGUUCGUAGGCGGUCGGAUAAGUCAGUGGUGAAAUUUCUUAGCUUAACUAAGACCCGGCCAUUGAUACUGUUUGACUUGAAUAGUAUGGAAGUAACUAGAAUAUGUAGUGUAGCGGUGAAAUGCUUAGAUAUUACAUGGAAUACCAAUUGCGAAGGCAGGUUACUACGUACUUAUUGACGCUGAUGAACGAAAGCGUGGGGAGCGAACAGGAUUAGAUACCCUGGUAGUCCACGCCGUAAACGAUGGAUACUAGCUGUUCGGUUUUCGGACUGAGUGGCUAAGCGAAAGUGAUAAGUAUCCCACCUGGGGAGUACGUUCGCAAGAAUGAAACUCAAAGGAAUUGACGGGGGCCCGCACAAGCGGUGGAGCAUGUGGUUUAAUUCGAUGAUACGCGAGGAACCUUACCAGGGCUUAAAUGUAGAUUGACAGGUUUGGAAACAGACUUUUCUUCGGACAAUUUACAAGGUGCUGCAUGGUUGUCGUCAGCUCGUGCCGUGAGGUGUCAGGUUAAGUCCUAUAACGAGCGCAACCCCUAUUGUUAGUUACCAGCGAGUAAUGUCGGGAACUCUA